GGCCUCACUAAGUUGCUGAGGCUGGCUUUGAACUCUUGAUCUUCCUGCCUCAGCCUCCCAAGCCGCUGGGAUGACAGGUACGAACCAUCAUGCCAGGGUGCACCUAAAAGAUUCUUGAAAGUUCAUUUACUUAGUGAAUAAAUGAACAAAUGAAGGGGGAUAAUAGUAUCAGCACAAGUAUAUUUUGGGGUACAAACCGGCACAAGAUACUGGCUGCAGCAGAGCUUUGUGAACUCCUAAGACUUCUAAACCUAAAGAUGUGAGGAAGAAGAAAAUGCCAUGGAGCUGAUGGUGAUGGGACAGGAUGCAGGAUGGAGGCCUGGGAAAGGUGGACCAGUGGGGUAAGCCAGGGCCCACUGGUGAGAACAUCAGCUUUCGGGUCUCUAUCUACUAAGGAAUUCUGCAGGAAAGGCCUAUUGCUCUUCAGACUCUCUCUGAGGUGCCCCAUUUAAAACCCCAGCAUGCUCAGGGUUAUCUCUUGAAUAUUAAUUGCCUCCAUAGGAGAUCCAGAGCUUUAUCACCAGCUUCUUCUGGUUCCUGCUGUGAGAGGCAAAAGCCCUGUUGCAUCUCCAUCCUUCCAGCUGCCCAUGGCCUCCUUCAGCCUCCUGGAGCUCAUCGCCUUCCUCAGGCCCGGCUUCCUGCCUUGAACCAGCCUGGCAUGGAUAUCGCUUCCAGCCCUCUAAGGAUGCAAUGUCAGGGACAAUGGACUUACUUUGACAUUACUGCCAGGCACCCCAGGCCAUCUCACAUAGCAUGAGCAGAAUCUCCAUCUUCACACUCAGUGCCCGGGGCUGGUUCCCCUCAGUGUGUCUGGCCACAUCUCCCAGGGAUGGGUUCCCUGAGGCUGGAGCAACAGGCAGCCGGCUUAAUCCCUGAAAAACUCCAAUUCAAAUCCUAAGAAGGUAAAGCUUGUCUUUGGCAGCUCUGUGCCAUUCUAAUUGUCUUACUUUAGGAUGUGAGAGAAGAGAAAGAGGCUGAGGGACAAAGGCCAGAUGAGCAGGAGGGGUCAGCUAACCUGAGUUCCAGGCAGGCAAAGGGUGCCUGAAGGAUCCACUGUCCUGUGACAUUCCAGCAGUGUCAUUCCUGGCCUGCUAAGGAACCUAAAAUCCAACACAGCAUGUUCUCAGGGCUGGAACUGUUUUAUUUCUUCUCUAUUUUUUAAUGAAGUAGCUAGACUGGCUUCUUAAAAGAACCACUUUGAACACCUGUGAAUUCUACGAAGUUCAAAUUUAGGAAAAAUCUCACCUGUAGGGCUUAGGUCCUCUGAGCCAUUGGCUAUUUAUAAUUAAUAUUAAUAAAAGAUCGUUGACAUAUUUAUUACUUAGCUGACAUGUAUUGCCAAACCCCAAAGGGUUUCCUUUAAGAUCUAAAGGAUUUGCAUGUACUUGGUAGUUAUGUUGAAGAGAAUAAAACUUUUGGGGUAUAAUCAAGAUUUCUUUCUUAAAUAAAUUUUUUUUUUGUAGUACAGCAAUUGAACCCAGGAGUGCUCUACCACUGAUAUAUAUCCCCAGCCCUUUUUAUUUGUUGAGACAAGGUCUCUCUAAAUUGCCCAGAUUGGCCUCCAGCUUGCAAUCCUCCUCCCCCAGCCUCCCAAGUAGCUCUGAUUCCAGGUGCCCACGACUUCACCUGACCAGAUUUCUUAUGAGAACCCAAUGACGCAUGGGCAAUGUCUGCCUUAAACCAGCCAAAAACCAAAAAAGGAACUGAACUGGGUGUGCCACUG
Molecule: long non-coding RNA, 1723 nt
Filed under: Marmota monax (woodchuck)
Lineage: Eukaryota; Metazoa; Chordata; Mammalia; Rodentia; Sciuridae
Source: RNAcentral